UACGGAGGGUGCAAGCGUUAUCCGGAUUUACUGGGUUUAAAGGGUGCGUAGGUGGGUAGGUAAGUCAGUGGUGAAAUCUUCGAGCUUAACUCGGAAACUGCCAUUGAUACUAUUUAUCUUGAAUACUUUGGAGGUAAGCGGAAUAUGUCAUGUAGCGGUGAAAUGCUUAGAUAUGACAUAGAACACCAAUUGCGAAGGCAGCUUACUGCACAGUCAUUGACGCUGAGGCACGAAAGCGUGGGGAUCAAACAGG
This 253-nucleotide ribosomal RNA is filed under the name uncultured bacterium. RNAcentral describes it as "partial 16S ribosomal RNA". It matches the Rfam family "Bacterial small subunit ribosomal RNA", at positions 524 to 776 of the family's 1533-position model. The record is from RNAcentral.